GGAGGGCCACGUUUAAGUCCCGUAUUAAAAUCCUUUCAGCGGACAGUCUCUAUUAUUGAGUGUUUCAUGAUUUCGCGAUACAGAGUCCCUUUUCAGGGUAAAACCAUUUCGCGAAAUUUAAGAACGCUCAACAAGAGGAGGGCCACGUUUAAGUCCAGUAUUCAAAACCUUUCAGUGGACAGUCUCUAUUAUUGAGUGUUACAUCAUUUUGCGAUAGAGUUCAAAGAAAAAAAAACUUCUCGCAAAAUGAAAUAACGCUCAACAAGAGGAGGGCCACGAAUAAGUCCCCUCUGUGGACAGUCUCUAUUAUUAAAUGUUAUGUGAUUUUUAGGGACAGAGCUCCUUUACACGGAAAAAUCAUCCCAUUAAAUCAAACAACACUCAACAAGAGGAGGGCCACAGAGAUCCUUAAAUCCUUUCCCAUUCUUUCAAAAAAAAACAAGGUUUUUUUUAUGGAGAGGGGGAUGAAUGUAACCUCUUACUUCGGCUACAUUUGCAUUUGUAAAUAUUUUGUACAGUAGUUUUGGUAUUCCCUGUUCUUUUAUUUGUUAUUACUGCUAUUACUAUUCACAAAUUAUUAUUACUAUUGCUGUUGCUAUUGACAUUAUUAUAUAAUCAAAAAAAAAAAAAACAAUGAAUUCGAUGAGCUAGAAAUAAGAACGAACUGAAAAUCAAACGAAUAUGAACCAAAAGUUAUACCGAGAAUAAAUUAUUCCCAAUGCCUUUGAACACCCCUCCUUUACCUAUCCCACAACGUUACACAUAACCGCCACAGUUGACUACGACUGUCGGGAAUAAAUCCUAUACCAGGAAGGAGGAACCCCUUAAAAGGGACUGUCAGCGACUGAAUCGCUCUCUAUUAGUGAACGCCUGUGAACGCGUGUUUCAAUUGCCCGGUAGUGCUACGAAGAGUGUCCUGGAGGAUUUCGUUCAUCCUGUGCUUCCUGCAUCGGAUUCGUCCGGUAGAAGAAGAACGGUAGAAGAAGAAGUGCAAGGAACCGGCGGAUCUUGGAGAGUGAGUGCUAUAAUCUCGGAAGACGUAAAGCCCCGGUGCGCCAUCCAUCCGACAGAGGGACGAUUACCACCAUCCCGUUCGACUUCAGAGGAGCCGUUUUCGCCACUCCACUGGCGGAGCAUAGAAGGAUCCACCGUGAUCGCCCACGCCGGCCCAGGUUUGAAGAGGAUCGAGAUGAUGCGUCGAAGGUUAUGCCACGGGACCCGCCCGUUUCGCGACACGAUGCCACCCGGUGCAAUCCAGCACGGACAACAAUGAAGCUAUUAUUCUUGAGAGGUGUGUAAACGAUUGUAUCCUUAUCAUUUCCCCGUAAAUCCUUUUUCAUUAAAAUGAAUAAUUGAACUGAA
This is a long non-coding RNA of Armigeres subalbatus, 1362 nucleotides long. RefSeq lists it as uncharacterized. The record is from RefSeq and is a predicted model, not a curated record. The transcript has 2 exons. Lineage: Eukaryota; Metazoa; Arthropoda; Insecta; Diptera; Culicidae.